GCUUCACAAUGAGUUAACACCACCAAUGUUCUUAAUAACAGUUACAUUUCUAUAAGACUGAGUCGCUUUUUCAGUAGAGUUUAGUUACAUUUGAAUUCAUAUUACCUCGUGACAUUUCAAGCAUUUUUAAGCAUUUAUUGCCUGCGCUGCCUAUUCUGCCUUCUCUGCUUGCUUUCAUGACCGCCAUCAGUGGUGGGUGUUGAGUUACCCCCAUUGGUUGUUUUGACAAUAUUCAUACUAAACAUCAGCCCCACACUAAUUAUCUAUUAUAUAUGCAUCUAAUUUAAAUAGCUUUAUUUUUAUUAUUGCCAGUAAAUCAGACAACAUGAACAUGUCACCCUGCACUCUUAAUUAAAACUGACACAUAAUUAAUAAAAUAAAAAAAAAAAGAAAAGGUCAAACCCGUGAAUGAAUGAACCAUUUGGUACAUAUGUUCUCUAGUACACACAUCCCCUCCCCUCUAACACUUUGACCUCAUGUGUUACUCGGGGAGAUGAAGGAGGAGCAGGUCCAGAGUCUGAGAAUCAGGGCCUCGGGGUAUCUGAGCUAACACCAGCUCUCUGUUUUCUUCUGCAGCUGUUAUUGCCAAACAAGGUUUCCUUUGUCACACAUUUGAGCUACUGAUGCUGGGACCUUCUGUAUUCUGAGUUGUUGGUUGCUUGCAUUGUUGAUAAUCUAGUAAUGGAGGUUUCUUGUACUGUUGCACUUUGUUGGAGUGUCUUUGGAUAACACCCAAAAUGUAAAUGCCCCUGGCCAGACACAGCUAAAGUGAUAACAAACAGAGGGGACAAAGGCAGGCUACCAUUACAGGCAAUAACCUCAUUAUUAGGCCUGCAGCAAUGAUGGGGUGAAGCUAAAGAGGCCUGGCAUUACAUAUGAUCCAUCUAAUCACAGCUGUCACUUCUGGGACCAGGAAUACCUGAUAGGUUCUUGUUCCUAACAGCUCUGACACUGUUAGAAAGCAAGUGGAGCAUUUGUUUUCCAAAAAAAAAAAAAGAAAAAAGGAUCACCACAGGUCUUUAGAACACUACAUGAAAAACUGUGACAUGAUCCUAUGGGAAAUGAUACAUGUGUACAAAGAGUUAAAUGGCAGUUUAAAAUAAUUUUUCCUGAGUUCAACAAGUAAUCCCUCCAUCCUACUACAGACACAAUCCAAGUUAAAGAGGUUAUUUAUGCUUAUGUUCAAUAAUAAAAUAAUACAGAUGUGCCAAAUAGAAAAAGAAAAAACAUUAUGAUGUUAGUGCUGAAACCAUUAUCUGCAAAAUUAUGCAUACACUCAAUGUCAGGUAUGGGUAGGUAAUAGCUAAAACCACUUGGGUACUGCUGUUGAGACCAUUAUUAAUAAGAUUUUG
This is a long non-coding RNA of Astatotilapia calliptera (eastern happy), 1352 nucleotides long. Lineage: Eukaryota; Metazoa; Chordata; Actinopteri; Cichliformes; Cichlidae. The record is from Ensembl.